RNAcentral lists this small RNA (581 nucleotides) under Pan troglodytes (chimpanzee). RNAcentral's name for it is "retained intron". The record is from RNAcentral. Lineage: Eukaryota; Metazoa; Chordata; Mammalia; Primates; Hominidae.
AGUCGGCGGCCGGACUGGGAAGAUGGACGCAGCUACUCUGACCUACGACACUCUCCGGUUUGCUGAGUUUGAAGAUUUUCCUGAGACCUCAGAGCCCGUUUGGAUACUGGGUAGAAAAUACAGCAUUUUCACAGAAAAGGACGAGAUCUUGUCUGAUGUGGCAUCUAGACUUUGGUUUACAUACAGGAAAAACUUUCCAGCCAUUGGGGGGACAGGCCCCACCUCGGACACAGGCUGGGGCUGCAUGCUGCGGUGUGGACAGAUGAUCUUUGCCCAAGCCCUGGUGUGCCGGCACCUAGGCCGAGAUUGGAGGUGGACACAAAGGAAGAGGCAGCCAGACAGCUACUUCAGCGUCCUCAACGCAUUCAUCGACAGGAAGGACAGUUACUACUCCAUUCACCAGAUAGCGCAAAUGGGAGUUGGCGAAGGCAAGUCCAUAGGCCAGUGGUACGGGCCGAACACUGUCGCCCAGGUCCUCAAGUAUGUACUGUGCUUCCACUGCCGAGCAUGGGGCAGCAGGGAUGUUCCCUGGGGGUUAAAUUCUCCUUGAGUCUUCAUGGCUACAGGAAAUAAGGGGUCUC